GAUAAACGCUAGCGGCAGGCUUAACACAUGCAAGUCGAGGGGCAGCAUAGAUUGUAGCAAUACAAUUGGUGGCGACCGGCGCACGGGUGCGUAACGCGUAUGCAACCUACCCGUCACAGGGGGAUAAUCCGGAGAAAUCUGGUCUAAUACCCCAUAACUUACUGAUCGGCAUCGGUUCAUGUUGAAAUUUUCGGAGGUGACGGAUGGGCAUGCGUAGCAUUAUCUUGUUGGUGAAGUAAUGGCUCACCAAGGCGUCGAUGCGUAGGGGGACUGAGAGGUUUUCCCCCCACACUGGUACUGAGACACGGACCAGACUCCUACGGGAGGCAGCAGUGAGGAAUAUUGGUCAAUGGGCGCAAGCCUGAACCAGCCAUGCCGCGUGCAGGAUGACGGCUCUAUGAGUUGUAAACUGCUUUUGUACGAGGGUAAAGUGGGUUACGUGUAACCUUUUGAAAGUAUCGUACGAAUAAGGAUCGGCUAACUCCGUGCCAGCCGCCGCCGUAA
RNAcentral lists this ribosomal RNA (504 nucleotides) under uncultured bacterium. RNAcentral's name for it is "partial 16S ribosomal RNA". It matches the Rfam family "Bacterial small subunit ribosomal RNA", at positions 28 to 523 of the family's 1533-position model. The record is from RNAcentral.